AUUCUGUCGGCAGUUUCAGGUGUCGCGAAAGCGAUGAAACGGGAAGUCGGUGCAUCUUUAACGCUGAAGAUAAAGCCGACACUGCCCCCGCAACGGUAAAUGAGUUAACGCUGAACGUUUAACCACUGUAGUCAUUACGGGAAGGUGUUCAGCAGGUGAAAACCGCUCAUGAGUCCGGAGACCGGCCUGAAAUGUCCUUGCCUC
RNAcentral lists this non-coding RNA (204 nucleotides) under Methylophaga lonarensis. Lineage: Bacteria; Pseudomonadati; Pseudomonadota; Gammaproteobacteria; Thiotrichales; Piscirickettsiaceae. The record is from RNAcentral. RNAcentral also lists the same sequence under 1 other name.